Non-coding RNA from Pogona vitticeps (central bearded dragon), 510 nucleotides. NCBI's taxonomy places the organism in Eukaryota, Metazoa, Chordata, Lepidosauria, Squamata, Agamidae. The record is from RefSeq and is a predicted model, not a curated record.
CUCCUAAAACUGAGCCCAUCCUUUUUGUCUUCUCCAGGACAAAGAGUCAUUCCUCAGCCACCAGUUGCGCUCCUGCAUUAGACCUCCCGGCCUUCCUGAGAUCCCACCACGGAGCUGAGCUUGUAUCUCUCCUCCCGCUGCCUGCCUUUCCUUGUUGGGAUGGUGAAGCUUUGGAGAAAGAACAGCCCAGAUACAGGGAUCUCCUGCUCAUUCUCCCCCCCCCUUGGGUAGGGGGAGUGCAAGAGGAAGAAGAAGGAAACCAGGCCCAUUUCUUGAUCUUGUUGAGCCAUGUCUGUGUCCACUGAAGCUCCGCACAUGUCCUGCAUGUGAUGGCCAUGGGAUCCCCAUGCAUUUCCCUGGUGGGGCUUGACCCGUCCGCUAAGAUCAGGUGAAAGCAUCUUUUAAUUUUAAAAUGCAGGCUCCUUUUGGACAAAGGCUUGGUCACUACUAGCAAUCCAUGGUCUGUCUUUAAAUAAUAAAUAAUAAUGGUCAAUUAUUGACCUCAACAGA